RNAcentral lists this long non-coding RNA (3537 nucleotides) under Marmota monax (woodchuck). Lineage: Eukaryota; Metazoa; Chordata; Mammalia; Rodentia; Sciuridae. The record is from RNAcentral.
UCAUAAAGUCUUUCUGCCUGUGUGGGCCCAUUUAAAAAAUAAUUUUAUGUUUCAGAAUAUAAAAGCAAUACAGGUUCAUUGAAGAUAUUCAUAGUCAUAUAAAUAUAAAAUAAAAUUGCUUUGGCCCUUUUAUCCUGCCAUGUUUCUAUUUUUUUGUUUGAUUACUUUUGAUAAGCAGUAUGGAAUCUUCUAAAAGAACACAAAACUGUCUCACUAACUUCUGUUACUUUCUAAAAUAAGCCUUAUACUCUGAUUCUACCUAAAUUUUUUAUCUUAAGUUGGGACUGAUAUUGUCGCUUUGUGACUAAAGCUCACCAUAAAUUCACCUUAAAUAUAAUAUGUAUGUGUGUAUACAUUUAUUUAAAAGAUAGACCAAUUAUAGAUGAGAACUCAUUCAUAGAAUUGAAGAACAUAAACAUUGCUUACUUUUUAUUUCCUUAUUAAGAAACUUGGAUAUAUAAUUUCGUUUUUAAUUAAUAAGACCCUCAAUCAUGUAUUAUACUUAUCAUUCUUUCUCCCCAUGUUUGAGAUGGUAUUGCCCUACUAAAAAAAAAUUCCAUAGACCUUGUGGAUAUUUGAGAUUUUUCUCUCACUUAAAUAGUAUUUAGAAAAAUGAAAUUGAAGUAAUUUUGUACCUGAAGUCCACCAAAGACAGCUUCCUAUAUCUUUUUAUUCAGAGAUUUUUAUCAAAGGAAUGUAGACUGGAAUCUGCAAUGGUUCUCAAAAUCUGAGAGUGGUAAGUGAGACCAAUUAAGUCUUUUCUUACCAGUAUUUAAUUUUUUUUUCUCUGUAGUUUUUAACUGAAAUAUUUCAUAUGACAAGCCACAUUAAUUCUUGGUUUCUUGACUUUUAAUGACAGCCUUCUUUUAGUUGUUUUGCCAUCGAUAACUUUAGUUUGGUUGCUAGAAAUUCUGUAUUUUGUAUCCUCAGGGUUUUUAUUUAUUUGGGACCUGGAAUGAGGUCCAAAAAUAGUGGGAAUCUUUGAGGCUGCCAUCAUGUUCUCUAUACUUGUGUCAUCUUUGUGGAGCUGACCACCCUGAAUCCUGGAGUUGAUUUCUCUUUGACCAGCCCCUGGUUGAUUGUGGUAGUCUGAGAAUAGAGGUGGCAUUUAACUGUUUUCACCUCACCAAUUCAAGAAUUGUUUGCUGAACCCAUUAAAUCUGGCAUGGAUAUUGAUUAGGUGGUUGAAAUGAAUCUAAAAACAUUUAAAAAUUUUAAAUGCUUAUAAGAAUUAGCCAUGCUGGAGCUACAGCAUGGUGAUUGAGAGCUUAUUGAGCAUGAACAAGGCCCUGAGUAUUUGAUCCCCAACUCUGGGGUGGGGGAAGAAAAAAAAGAGAGCGAGAGAGCAAGGGGGUAGGGAGAGAGAGAGAGAAGGGAAAGAGGUAAGAAGGGAGGAAGGAAGGAAGAAAAAUCCGCAUAGAGAAAUGAAAGAUGCUCAAUGAAUGGGGACUUAGAUUAUAUGUCAUUAACACCAGAAUUACUUUAAUUUGUAGCUUUAGCUAUAAAUUUCAAAACCGGUUUUGAGUAUUGACAUCUUAUAUAUUUUAGUCUGUCUUCCUUUCUGUAAUUUUUAUUGCAAAUAAUAAAAAGAUAAAAAACUGACUCAUAAACUUAAGCUACUAAUAAAUAUAUUAGCUCAUGUAACUUCAAAGAACUACUUUGGAAAUGAUACAGCAAUUCAGUGACUUCUGUUUUUUGUUUUGGUUUUCUGGUGUUGCUUUCAUUCUGGUGCUCCUGAUAAGGCUUUUACUAGCUCUUAACUAUUAUUAUUUCCAUGUUUACUUUCACUUAGAAAAAGAGUAUUUGCCUCUGUAUAUUUAAUAAAUGUCCCAAUAUUUAUUCUGGUUUGACCAGUGGAGAUCAUAUUUCCAUCUCAGUAGUGUUGUAUCUGGUUUGUAUGUUUCAUUCCAGGAGACAAUGAUGAAGGUAACUUCUUUGGAACUUUUGGAUCCCCAAAUGAGUAAUUGUCUUCUUGGAAAAGGAAAGUGGAGAAUAAAUGUGAAGGCAGGUGAUUAACAUGCAUUACAUAACCUUCAUUCUUUACUUUCACCUGUCCCAUACUUUAUCAUUAGUAUCUACCUGAUGAAGUCUUAACUUUAUUUUUUGUCAUUCUUGCUACAUAUUAGGGACUCUCCCCAACCCAAACAAAUAGAAAAACCACUAUUGUCCAGGCCAUUCAUUUACCUUUAUUAGAAACUUGCUUGCCACAUUUUCUUUGUCAACAGUUUUCUUUUAGGCAAUACUUGAAAUUUUAUCAGAAAGUAAAUCAUUCUAAAGUGUAUUUUUUUUCCAAUACGGAAGAAUUUUACUAUUAGCUGAUUUAUAAUAAACAAGAACUCUGCCUCAUGUAUUAAUGAUGAACAGUUACAUGUUUUUAAAAGUGAAGCUCAAUUUAAUCAAAAACAUUUUUUAAAUACUGAAAUAUGAAGUGCAUAGUACUAACAGCCACCAUAAAGUUCAAUACUUUGAGAUAAUGAAAUUUUACUUCAAGUUAUAUAACAGGAGCAGAAUUUACUGUAAAAGAGAUUUUAGAGACCGUUUAAUUAAUUAUUCUAGUACCUUCUCUAGUAAGGCUGACAAAAGGAGUUCAACAGCAACAGCUCCAUAACUACUUUAUUAGAAAGCUCACAUUCCAUUUACUCCAUUUACAUGGGAGAUGGUAAAUAUUCAACAAGUGUAAUUUGAACUCUAAAUAGAAUAGCUUUGUCUUUUAUAUGUUGAGGAUAAAUUCUGUGUGUAUGUAACUUUCACCCAGUAGAAGUAUGUUUCUUUCCCUUGGAGGGGGAGCUUUUCAGGCACGUGAAAGCAAUGAUGUCUCUUUUAUCUUCUUGUCAUCAGUCCAAAUAUAUAAGCAUUUCUCCUAUAUGAUUUUAUUGCCAAUUACAAUCAAAUAACUGUUCAAUUUACCCUCCUAAUUUUCUUUAAUUUUUCCAGGGCCUUACACAUGCUAGGCAAGUGCUCUACUCCCUGAGCUACACCCUCGGCCCUAGUUUCCUUUAUAAUGUUCAUAAAGGUAAACACCAUACCCUUAACAUGAUAUAAGCGCUGCAGGAAGUAUAGUGUAUAUACUGUUUUCUUUGUUCUAAAUGUAUUACUUUCAAAUGUUUUUUAAAAAUAAUUUUAGUUAAAGUAUACAUGCUAUAAAAUAUGCUAUACAUAAGAUACACCCUUUUUAAGGUGUCCAGUUCAGUUUUUAAAAUUUCUAUUUAUGUAAUUACCACCACAAUAAAGACAGAACAUUUUUAUACUCACUGAAGCUAACAUGUGCCUCUACUUAACAUCAUAUCCACUUCUGAUCUCCAGCCCCAGGCAAACACUCAUCUGCUUUCUGUCUCUGUAGAUGAGAUUUUUGUUUUCUAGAAUUUAUAUAAGUGGAGUCAGACAUACCUUGGAGAUACUAUGGGUUUGAUUCCAGUCCACCACAUUAAAGCAAAUACUGUAAUAAAGUGAGUUAUAUGAACCAUUUGGUUUCCCAAUGCACAUGAAAGUUGUGUUUACAUUAUAGUCUUUUAAGCAUGCUGUAGUAUUAGAUCUAAA